CAGAACUUUCCAGAGAUGGAGGUGCCUUCGGGAACUGUGAGACAGGUGCUGCAUGGCUGUCGUCAGCUCGUGUUGUGAAAUGUUGGGUUAAGUCCCGCAACGAGCGCAACCCUUAUCCUUUGUUGCCAGCGGUUAGGCCGGGAACUCAAAGGAGACUGCCAGUGAUAAACUGGAGGAAGGUGGGGAUGACGUCAAGUCAUCAUGGCCCUUACGACCAGGGCUACACACGUGCUACAAUGGCGCAUACAAAGAGAAGCAAUCUCGCGAGAGCAGCGGACCUCAUAAAGUGCGUCGUAGUCCGGAUUGGAGUCUGCAACUCGACUCCAUGAAGUCGGAAUCGCUAGUAAUCGUGAAUCAGAAUGUCACGGUGAAUACGUUCCCGGGCCUUGUACA
This 393-nucleotide ribosomal RNA is filed under the name Enterobacter sp. FES37. RNAcentral's name for it is "bacterial SSU rRNA". It matches the Rfam family "Bacterial small subunit ribosomal RNA", at positions 991 to 1387 of the family's 1533-position model. The record is from RNAcentral. Lineage: Bacteria; Pseudomonadati; Pseudomonadota; Gammaproteobacteria; Enterobacterales; Enterobacteriaceae.